UUUCUUUCUUCUUUUCUCUAUACGUUGGUGUUCUAACCAAUAAUCACCGAUGCGAUGCUCUGUCCCAUCGAUUCAGGAACCAACUAACGGAUGCCAAAGUGCUAUACUUUGAGAGUUCGUUAAACGGAUGCCAAAGUAUUAUACUUUGAGAGUUCGUUAAACGGAUGCCAAAGUAUUAUACUUUGAGAGUUCGUUAAACGGAUGCCAAAGUACUAUACUUUGUGAUUUCAGUAAACGGAAUCCAAAGUGUUAUACUUUGUGAAAUUCGUUAAGGUUCGAAUCUCGUGACUACCGUUAAGGUUUGAUUUGGGUUUUACACAAAUACGUAUUCCAUUCUGUUAAACUAUAUGUUUAACUACCAAAAAUACUCCCAACUACACACUCACAAUCAAACAAACUAUUAAAUCAUCAGAAGAUCCAGAAUAAUAAAGUGCAUGCUUAAUUAUCGGAAGAAGUAGAAUCAAGAAGCUUGUUAACUCAAUCUUGCAUGCUUAUAAAGGAUUAA
RNAcentral lists this long non-coding RNA (505 nucleotides) under Helianthus annuus (common sunflower). RNAcentral describes it as "hypothetical non coding rna". The record is from RNAcentral. Lineage: Eukaryota; Viridiplantae; Streptophyta; Magnoliopsida; Asterales; Asteraceae.